This 73-nucleotide non-coding RNA is filed under the name Brevibacillus brevis. The record is from RNAcentral. Lineage: Bacteria; Bacillati; Bacillota; Bacilli; Caryophanales; Paenibacillaceae.
UGUCGAAACGCUCCCGGCCCUCCGGGGGUGUCAGUGGGAAAUGGCCUACCCACUCUGAUGAUGACAGGCCAAA